This 93-nucleotide microRNA precursor is filed under the name Otolemur garnettii (small-eared galago). RNAcentral describes it as "miRNA (ENSOGAG00000017295.1)". Lineage: Eukaryota; Metazoa; Chordata; Mammalia; Primates; Galagidae. The record is from RNAcentral.
AGAACUGGCCAAGACCUGGUCCUAGCAGAUUGAGGAGAGCACCUCAGUGGUUAUCUCACAGUCUGCUGAGGCUGGAGCUGCUAAUAUGCUCAC